This 1296-nucleotide long non-coding RNA is filed under the name Homo sapiens (human). RNAcentral describes it as "HSALNT0147342". The record is from RNAcentral. Lineage: Eukaryota; Metazoa; Chordata; Mammalia; Primates; Hominidae.
AAAGAAUUAGUAUCAUUAAAUGUCUAUAUUACCCAAAGCAAUCUACAGAUUCAAUGCAAUCCCUAUGAAAGUACCAAUGAUUCUUCAUAGAAAUUGUAAACAAUAUACUAAAAUUUGUAUGGAACCAUAAAAGACUUCGAAUAGAAAAAAUGAUCCUGAGCAAAAAGAACAGCUGGAGGCAUCAUGCCACCAGAUGUUUUGUAUGACCAAGAUGGAAAAAUAUUUUCCAUUUCCUGCACUGAGGCAGUGAAUGCUUUUAAAGGGCAGCUUACCAAUGAGUUUGGCGUUAAUGCCAAACUCAGCCCACCUACCUAAUAUGGUGGUUUUUAUUUAAUUUAUAAACUCAUCUUAUUAAAAAUCAUAAAAUAAAAUUGUAGUAUUGAAAUAAACAUAUCAUUAAAAUCAGCACUAAUUGAUAAAAUGAUAAAAGCAUUAUUAUUUUACCAAACAUGUUCUUUGGAACCUAAUCCUCAGGAAGUGGAAAGUAGGCACUUUAAAUGUGCCAACCAAGUGUAGAAGGCACCCACUGGGAAAAAAAAAAGAAUUGAGCCACCAAUGAUCUAUUUUCAAUUGAGUUAAAUAAAUUUUAAUAAAGGUCUUUGCUGCUAUUAGCAGUUGUGAUCACCAAAUACCCACAUUACUAGUAUCUGUCUUGCUGGGAAAGCUCUGCUCCAAUUGUUGCUAAAUGUAUUCAAAUACCUACCUGUAUAUCUUCUGCUCAAAUAUUAUUUCAUUUGUUUUGUUUUCAAGGGAAGCUGUAUCAAGACCUAAAUUUAACAGUUUCCUUUGAUUGCAUUGGCCCCAUGAAAAAUUUUCCCUGCAGUGGAAUGACUUGUUGGCUCCAAGGAAGAAACCACAAGAGGCAGCAGGUAGUCAAAUACCUCAUCCUUUCCAGUAAACUACAGGCUCCUGUGGCAUCAGUGUCAUCCACCCUGGGACGCUGAUGUUGGCCACAUCUCCAUAGGAGAACUCUGCUCUCAGCAUCCACUUCAAUCUUCUCUCCCUCUAAUUAGAAUAAUCUGAACAGUUGACUUCAUGCUCUCAUUGGAAGUGUUCCAUCUCCUGAGGACCUGUUGCUGUUCCAGUCUCUGUUCUCCUUCCAUGUUCUCAAGCUGUGGCUGGUUCUUUCAACUUCUUCAUAUUGCACGUGGGCUCUGCUUUUUUGAACAAAUGAGAGUCCUGAGCCUUGUGCAGUCUCCUCCUAGGAGAAUUAAAACAUAAGAGUGCCUAAACAGGGACAGAUUUGCUCCUGGAUUCUUUACCAGCUCAUUGGGUAUAGUCUGUGGGCAGGACCCC